This 468-nucleotide ribosomal RNA is filed under the name uncultured bacterium. Its description in RNAcentral is "partial 16S ribosomal RNA". It matches the Rfam family "Bacterial small subunit ribosomal RNA", at positions 28 to 507 of the family's 1533-position model. The record is from RNAcentral.
GACGAACGCUGGCGGCGUGCUUAACACAUGCAAGUCGAACGGUGAUGCUCCAGCUUGCUGGAGUGGAUCAGUGGCGAACGGGUGAGUAACACGUGAGCAACCUGCCCCAGACUCUGGAAUAAGCGCUGGAAACGGCGUCUAAUACUGGAUACGAAACUGGCCCGCAUGGGCAUGGUUUGGAAAGUUUUUCGGUUUGGGAUGGGCUCGCGGCCUAUCAGCUUGUUGGUGAGGUAAUGGCUCACCAAGGCGACGACGGGUAGCCGGCCUGAGAGGGCGACCGGCCACACUGGGACUGAGACACGGCCCAGACUCCUACGGGAGGCAGCAGUGGGGAAUAGUGCACAAUGGGCGAAAGCCUGAUGCAGCGACGCCGCGUGAGGGAUGACGGCCUUCGGGUUGUAAACCUCUUUCAGCAGGGAAGAAGCGAAAGUGACGGUACCUGCAGAAGAAGCACCGGCUAACUACGUG